GUAAGAAGGCUGAACGCCGAAGAAUUGAUGCUUUUGAACUGUGGUUUUGGAGAAGACUCUUGAGAGUCCCUUGGACUGCAAGGAGAUCCAACCGGUCCAUUCUAAAGGAGAUCAGUCCUGGGUGUUCUUUGGAAGAAAUGAUGCUAAAGCUGAAACUCCAAUACUUUGGCCACCUGAUGCGAAGAACUGACUCUCUGGAAAAGACCCUGAAGCUAGGAAAGUUUGAAGACUGGAGGAGAAGGGGACGACAGAGGAUGAGAUGGUUGGAUGGCAUCACUGACUCGAUGGACAUGGGUUUGAGCAAACUCGGGGAGUUGGUGAUGGACAGGGAGGCCUGGCAUGCUGCAGUCCACUGGGUCACAAAGUCAGACAUGACUGAGUGACUGAACUGAUUGACUGACCAACACCCACAGGUUGUUCCACUUCAGCAUCUGCCCUGUCCAUAACUUCCUCACCUGUUUUCCCUGCUAUAGUCAGGUCCUUACUCGCCCAGCAGGAUUCUUGAGAUAGUCUAAGGGCACCCUCAGCCUGGGGUCUCAUUCCUCACUUCCAAUCCCCCCCCAACACUACUACUGUCACAGUAAAACCAUGACAAGGUUAAAAUAUGCCUGUCAUAUGCAUGUAUAAGAAACACGUGACAAAGAUUAAUUUAACUCCUUAAUGAAGAAACUAGCAGAAUAGUAAAUCCAGUUCAAAGGAAAGUUCAAGAAGCUAUAGUGGAUGAUAAAAGGUAUGCUGGAAAGAUUGCAGACUUAGAGACAAGAGAGAUAAAAUAAAAUUAACCUUAGCUCUUUCACACUGUUACAUUCCUUGCCAGUGGCUUCAUUCCCAGGUCUCCUACUCUGACGCCUCAGGCAGGCCAGGCCCUCUUCAGGCACUUCAGGCACUCCAGGCCUCCUUGCGGCUAGGGGGAGGGGAAGGCAAGUUCAAGUCCUCAGGAUCCAGGUCUUUCCACAGUUCACCCCUCCGCAACCCCAGAGUUCAUCAAACUGCCGGAGAGUUUUGUUCGGUGCUCCCUCAACAGUGAUGAUACUGAGUUCAAGCUCCCCGAGUGACGGGCCACUAAAUCUGAGAGAUGAGGUGCUGAGGCAAGGAAUACGACUAUUUGGAAAGCUGACCAAGAAGAUUUUGAGAUUAAUGUCUCAAAAUAACCAUCUUGUCAGGAUCUGGAGGCCAGGUUCUCUUAUAAAACCAGAGAGAGAAGAGGUGAGGAAUUAAAAAUAAAAAAGCAGGACAGACAGGGAGAGGCAGUGAGGACGUGGAGGAAAAAGAGGCGCGUCUCGCAAAACAUCUCUGGGAUGGCCAGCCUGUGGAAGGGAUGUGUUAAUCUCUUCUUUCUUGCAACAUUUUACAGGUGGGCAGGGUCAGAUAAUCUCUCUGUGAGUUGAGUGAAGGCACUUUAACAGUCCGGCAGACAGGCAGGGUUCUCUGAGGUGGGCCAUUAUGUGUGAUUCUAAGAGCAAAGGCAAUGAAAAUCAAGUCAAAGAAACAGUUCCCACCUGGAGUCAGAACCGACUCUUCCCUGCAACUGUUAUGACCCCAUGUCUGUGCUGAUCCACAUGAACUUCGGGAAAAUGCAAUGGCGCAGCCCCUGCUUCCUGGAUUGUGGCUUCUUAUUUACAUCACCACAGCAAGUGAUUACAGGCUUACCUCUUCCAUUUAGGGCUGUGCUUUUUCUGGCUGCCCUUGACACCUGGCCGCUCUCAGGCUCCUGGCUCAGCCAGGCUCUGGACAGGGCUGUGUAUUUAUUGGAUGGGAGACCUGGAUGAGAGACCAUCUGCAUGUUUGUGAGGCAAAAAGAUGAUUUCAGAGAGGCAGCCUUAGUGGUGGUGUGAAGCAAGAUCUUGAUUUCCUGCCCAGGAAAUGAACCUGGGUAGCCUUGAUGAAUCCUAUUCACCAGACCAGCAAGGGCUAGGGGCUAGAAGCUAAUUUUCCUUGGAUCUUGCCCCCAGUGAAACCUGCAUUUCUCAAUGGAGGCAAGGACUGUAAAUGCAAGUACAAAGUUUAUUAUUAGAUAUAGAAAGCAACAAGUGGGACUGAAGGAGGAAACAGAAAGAGCUGGACUCCAUCUUAGGCCAGGUUGCGAACAUUAGGCUACACGCAUGGUCACCCUCCCAGUGGACUCUGAACUUUGUGUCCAGUGUCUAUAGAGAUAGCAUACCAAUGGAAAACCAGACCCCCAGAUAAAAUAGCCUCAGGACUUGCACUUGGACUCUCCGUUGUCUAAAAGAAUAUGCUAAUUAUCUCUGUAACAGAACAAAGUGGUAAAUUCCAUUAUGUUUAUCAGGAUAUGACCACAGGCCUAUUGAUAAAUAUCCACUGUUUAUCUAGUCAUGUAACACAUGAAUCAUGGGUUAACUUUGAUCGUAUCUCUCUUUUACCUUGUCCAGACUAGUUUCAAGGAAUUUGGGGAGGUGGGUUUGAGUAAGGACACUUAGGGUAUAUAAGGUUUUCACAAAAACUGGUCGGGGUCCUUGGCUAAGAGGAGACUCUGCCUUGAGCCCUCCAGCGUAAUAAACACUCCACUAUCUGCAUUGUCCUUCUGAGUGAGUUUGUUUCCCAGAACUCAUGGCUACAACAUUUGGUGCAUGGGCCGGGAAACUCCUCACUUUGAAGAAAUAAGUCCCAUUUGGGGCUACUCCGAGGCCUUGCAGCUUGAAUCUUCUAGAGUGGGGAAGGUGCCUUGCCUUUCUGGAAGGAUUCUGCUUCUCAACGCCCAGACCUUUCAUGUUAGCAGGUAAUGGAUGAUAGCAGGGGACCUGAGGGCUCAGGUGAGGAGGAACCCACCCAGCAGGGUGGAAGAGGGGCCCUGAUCACCCUCUGGGAGGGACUAGAAGGGGCACGGACCCACAGGAGCCUGGAAUAGGCAGGCAGCAAUUGCUUGGUACACAGGUUGAUGAGCGUGCUAGGGCUUAGGAAGGGAAUUUGCCAAGGUCAUUUAGGAGGUGUGUCCACGCCAUCUCAGGGAAAAUUAUAACCAGCGAUCACCAGGGGAUUUUUAGGAUAGGAAACUGGUCCUUGUAUGCUCAUAUUCUGCCCUCCCCCAGGAGGUGUUCCAUCUGCUGUUAAAUUCUUGACAGCCUCGGAAUUAUCAGGCUAGAAGGAGGGGGAUACAUAAAUGAGUAUGAAUUGGCUUUUCCGGAGACGGCCUGGGACAUGGGAUAUUUAACCCAUCUGUGUUUUCAUCCGCACCUGAUCAAGCCCACCAAGACAGAACAGACUUUAAGGGAGAAACAGUGUUGGACCACGUGGUGUUCUGGUUUGGCCUUGCUGACCGGCAGGUGAAGACACACGGAUCCCCCUUCGUCCUCUGGGAUCUGGCAGGAUUUGGACGAGGAUGACCUGCCCCUCCCCCAUACCGGAUGAUGACGCACCCUCCGGCCCAGUGCUCCACCAGGACCAGAGGCUGCCUUAAUGCCCAAUCCAGGGCCAGGUGAAGUUCCUGCAGCAGCCAUUCCUCCUCCACCAGCUCUCCUGGAGGUCUUAGAGCCGCCACCUCAGCAGGCUCCAAUCCUGGUGGCAGAAGCCUCUGGCCAGCACUUCCAGGAUCUGGCUCCAGCCGAACCGCCCAAGCUAUACCCACCUCUCCCGAUCUCAAGGACGUCUUCUUCUGCAUACACCUUGUCCCAGCAUCACAGCCCAUCUUUGCCUUUGAAUGGGAAGAUCCAGUCGGGGGCAUCAAACAACAGCUCACCUGGACUCCCCCACAAGGGUUUAAGAAUUCCCCAACCAUCUUUGGGGAAGCCUUGGCUUCUGACCUGGACUCAUUCCACCCGGAAAAGUACAGAUGUUGGCUCCUACAAUACAUGGAUGACCUGCUGCUGGUUGCCGAGACCAGGGAAAAAUGCUGGAAAGGGACAAAAGCACUGCUCCAGCUGCUGAUGGAAGCAGGUUACUGGGUGUCGAAGAAGAAGGCACAGAUCUGCAAAGAGUUAAAGUUACAGGUAUUGCCCCUUGGAUCCAUCAUACGAGGAUGAAGAGAGCAUACCACGCAGACCCAGAAAACGCUGAGUGGACUGCACAGAGGGACCCCGCUGACCCUCGAGAGACUAAGACCAUCCUUAAGAAGAAGGAAAAGAAGAUCCCGGAGCCCCUUGAGGAUGAAGCCACAUAAACAACUCCUGCUGCUUGGUCUCAUCAACAUGCACAUUCCUACGCCAACUUCCACAAUUCCUCCAACUGUUGGAACCACCAUCAACACACAGACCAGAGUGUGAACUUCUUGAGCAAAAGAGACACCCCUUUUGAUUGGAGAGUUGAGGAAGCUUCCUGGAAGAGGUGUCUUGUCAGCUGACCCUGAAUUGUUGGAUUGGGGCACUGAAUAAAAGUACAAAGUCCCAUCUGUGCUUCCUUUCACAGCUUAAAUUAUUCCACUUAAGCUCUUCAUCCAAAUGCUAUCCCAGUACGCCUUUUGAAACUUCCUUUUUAUUACAAAUAAAUUGCUAAAUAAAGCUUGCAGCAUAAAAAUUAAAAUAAUAAUAAUAAUAGAACUCCCUGCUUGAGAUCCGGCUGUGGCCUCAGUCAGUGAAAUGGUCAAAAGUCCGUCAGGUUCCUCUCAGGCUCCAUUCAACUCUGGGGGACAAAGAACAAACCACCGCAAGUUCACCAAGGUGGUGC
This is a long non-coding RNA of Bos taurus (domestic cattle), 4617 nucleotides long. The record is from Ensembl. Lineage: Eukaryota; Metazoa; Chordata; Mammalia; Artiodactyla; Bovidae.